GCCCAAUUUCGCACGUGCCUGUGGUCGCGUGCCGAUCGGCGGAGUUCCGGACAAGAGGCCGGAGUACCGCCGGGAAGAUCGGUAGCCGGAGGCGAAACCGGCGCACCUCGCUCUCAGCGGGGAACGUGACUUGAAGCAACGACGUAGCGGGCUUUU
This 156-nucleotide small RNA is filed under the name Ancylobacter novellus DSM 506. Its description in RNAcentral is "Starkeya novella DSM 506 Alphaproteobacterial sRNA ar45". It matches the Rfam family "Alphaproteobacterial sRNA ar45". The record is from Rfam by way of RNAcentral. Lineage: Bacteria; Pseudomonadati; Pseudomonadota; Alphaproteobacteria; Hyphomicrobiales; Xanthobacteraceae.